AGUUCUGAUUAUUGAAAGGUGCUUGCAUCUUGAUUUAGAUUUUGAACGAGUGGCGGACGGGUGAGUAACACGUGGGUAACCUGCCCUUAAGUGGGGGAUAACAUUUGGAAACAGAUGCUAAUACCGCAUAAAUCCAAGAACCGCAUGGUUCUUGGCUGAAAGAUGGCGUAAGCUAUCGCUUUUGGAUGGACCCGCGGCGUAUUAGCUAGUUGGUGAGGUAACGGCUCACCAAGGCAAUGAUACGUAGCCGAACUGAGAGGUUGAUCGGCCACAUUGGGACUGAGACACGGCCCAAACUCCUACGGGAGGCAGCAGUAGGGAAUCUUCCACAAUGGACGCAAGUCUGAUGGAGCAACGCCGCGUGAGUGAAGAAGGCUUUCGGGUCGUAAAACUCUGUUGUUGGAGAAGAAUGGUCGGCAGAGUAACUGUUGUCGGCGUGACGGUAUCCAACCAGAAAGCCACGGCUAACUACGUGCCAGCAGCCGCGGUAAUACGUAGGUGGCAAGCGUUAUCCGGAUUUAUUGGGCGUAAAGCGAGCGCAGGCGGUUUUUUAAGUCUGAUGUGAAAGCCCUCGGCUUAACCGAGGAAGUGCAUCGGAAACUGGGAAACUUGAGUGCAGAAGAGGACAGUGGAACUCCAUGUGUAGCGGUGAAAUGCGUAGAUAUAUGGAAGAACACCAGUGGCGAAGGCGGCUGUCUGGUCUGUAACUGACGCUGAGGCUCGAAAGCAUGGGUAGCGAACAGGAUUAGAUACCCUGGUAGUCCAUGCCGUAAACGAUGAAUGCUAGGUGUUGGAGGGUUUCCGCCCUUCAGUGCCGCAGCUAACGCAUUAAGCAUUCCGCCUGGGGAGUACGACCGCAAGGUUGAAACUCAAAGGAAUUGACGGGGGCCCGCACAAGCGGUGGAGCAUGUGGUUUAAUUCGAAGCAACGCGAAGAACCUUACCAGGUCUUGACAUCUUUUGAUCACCUGAGAGAUCAGGUUUCCCCUUCGGGGGCAAAAUGACAGGUGGUGCAUGGUUGUCGUCAGCUCGUGUCGUGAGAUGUUGGGUUAAGUCCCGCAACGAGCGCAACCCUUAUGACUAGUUGCCAGCAUUUAGUUGGGCACUCUAGUAAGACUGCCGGUGACAAACCGGAGGAAGGUGGGGAUGACGUCAAAUCAUCAUGCCCCUUAUGACCUGGGCUACACACGUGCUACAAUGGAUGGUACAACGAGUUGCGAGACCGCGAGGUCAAGCUAAUCUCUUAAAGCCAUUCUCAGUUCGGACUGUAGGCUGCAACUCGCCUACACGAAGUCGGAAUCGCUAGUAAUCGCGGAUCAGCACGCCGCGGUGAAUACGUUCCCGGGCCUUGUACACACCGCCCGUCACACCAUGAGAGUUUGUAACACCCGAAGCCGGUGGCGUAACCCUUUUAGGGAGCGAGCCGUCUAAGGUGGGACAAAUGAUUAGGG
RNAcentral lists this ribosomal RNA (1450 nucleotides) under Lacticaseibacillus rhamnosus. RNAcentral's name for it is "bacterial SSU rRNA". It matches the Rfam family "Bacterial small subunit ribosomal RNA". Lineage: Bacteria; Bacillati; Bacillota; Bacilli; Lactobacillales; Lactobacillaceae. The record is from RNAcentral.